This 539-nucleotide ribosomal RNA is filed under the name Sticta riparia. RNAcentral describes it as "partial 28S ribosomal RNA". It matches the Rfam family "Eukaryotic large subunit ribosomal RNA", at positions 95 to 646 of the family's 3401-position model. Lineage: Eukaryota; Fungi; Ascomycota; Lecanoromycetes; Peltigerales; Lobariaceae. The record is from RNAcentral.
GAAGCGGCAACAGCUCAAAUUUGAAAUCUGGCCUCUUCGGGGUCCGAGUUGUAAUUUGUAGAGGGUGUUUCGGGCGCGAUGCCGGUCUAAGUUCCUUGGAACAGGACGUCGCAGAGGGUGAGAAUCCCGUAUGCGACCGGCGAUCAAGUCUGUGUGAAACCCCUUCGACGAGUCGAGUUGUUUGGGAAUGCAGCUCAAAAUGGGUGGUAAAUUUCAUCUAAAGCUAAAUAUUGGCCAGAGACCGAUAGCGGACAAGUAGAGUGAUCGAAAGAUGAAAAGCACUUUGGAAAGAGAGUCAAACAGUACGUGAAAUUGUUGAAAGGGAAGCGCUUGCAAUCAGACCGGUCCGGAGGCGAUCAGCCGUCUGCUCGUUCAGCGGUGCACUCGCCUGCGAUCCGGCCAGCAUCGGUUUGGGCGGUGGGAUAAAAGUCCCGGGAAUGUAGCUUCUCUUGGGGAGUCUUAUAGCCCGGGUCGCAAUGCCGCCCGCCUGGACCGAGGACCGCGCUUCGGCUAGGAUGCUGGCGUAAUGGUUGCAAGCG